Non-coding RNA from Chrysemys picta bellii (western painted turtle), 909 nucleotides. The record is from RefSeq and is a predicted model, not a curated record. Lineage: Eukaryota; Metazoa; Chordata; Testudines; Emydidae.
GCUGCUACUUGGGUGAAUGUCGUUCCCAUUAACCCCACUGUGUGCAUCUCCUUCUUUAACCCCUUUUGUGCUAGCAUCCUUUGUAGCCCCUUUGCAAUGAUGGCCUGCAAUGUUGUCUUCCUGAAGAGCAGAACAGGCCCUGAUCACUGUACGUUGGGGAAAUGUACCAGGUACAAUAGUCAGUAGUAAAAGGGUUAAGGAAGCUUUUCUUAAACAGUUGCUUGGCAAAGGGAGUGUUAAAAAGAAGGGAAGUUUGUACAAUGGGCACAGAAUACAGAAAUCUUUAUAAAGAGGGAAUGCUUCAUUUGUUUGUUUUUAUACGUACUAUUUUAAGCAAAUCCCCAAGAUUAUAAUUGAAAGAUGGGUUUUUGUAAAAAAGGAAAAUGUGUUUGUAAAACUAUAAAACAAUUGGCAGAAGGACUCAAAGGCAGAUGUAGCUCCCAAAACUGCUUUUAACUUUUUUUUAAUUGUCUAACUUUCAAAUGUAUGGUGUCUCUUUAUAGAAUGUUCAGUGAGAUAUGUAGAGAGCCAUGCUCCUGUAUCCAGGACCUCCCGCUGAUUCAAAUCCACACAGGUCUCCAGUGACGUAACGUGUUUCCAACUGCUGCUAUUUGAACUGCAUAAUAUAAGAUUUGUGUUAGGCCAGUUCACAGUGGCAAGAUCAAGACUCUCUAUACUAAGACCUUUUAAAAUCUUUUUUUAUUUGGAGGUGCAGCUGUAACUAUUAAAAGGAGGGCUGUCGUGCUGUGUGAUGCAUCAUGGCAAUGCUGUUGUAUCGGUGGGACAUCCAACAUUUCCACUAUAACCCCUGUCUUUUGAGGGAUUUGUACCUGACAUAUUUAAAAAAAAAAAAAUUGACUUGGAUUUGUAUUACAGCUUCUUGACUUUAUAGAAAAUUACUACUUUCUG